This 394-nucleotide ribosomal RNA is filed under the name uncultured bacterium. RNAcentral's name for it is "partial 16S ribosomal RNA". It matches the Rfam family "Bacterial small subunit ribosomal RNA", at positions 523 to 918 of the family's 1533-position model. The record is from RNAcentral.
AUACGGAGGAUGCAAGCGUUAUCCGGAUUUAUUGGGUUUAAAGGGUGCGUAGGCGGAUGAUUAAGCGUGAGGUGAAAUGCCACUGCUCAACAGUGGAACUGCCUCCCGAACUGGUUGUCUUGAAUGCUCCUGCCGUGGGAGGAAUGUGUGGUGUAGCGGUGAAAUGCAUAGAGAUCACACAGAACACCGAUUGCGAAGGCAUCUCACGAAGGGGUGAUUGACGCUGAGGCACGAAAGCGUGGGGAUCAAACAGGAUUAGAUACCCUGGUAGUCCUCGCAGUAAACGAUGAUAACUAUCCGCUGGGUCGUAGUGAUUCAGUGGCCAAGCGAAAGCGAUAAGUUAUCCACCUGGGGAGUACGACCGCAAGGUUGAAACUCAAAUGAAUUGGCGGGG